RNAcentral lists this ribosomal RNA (301 nucleotides) under uncultured bacterium. RNAcentral describes it as "partial 16S ribosomal RNA". It matches the Rfam family "Bacterial small subunit ribosomal RNA", at positions 509 to 807 of the family's 1533-position model. The record is from RNAcentral.
CAGCAGCCGCGGUAAUACAGAGGGUGCGAGCGUUAAUCGGAUUUACUGGGCGUAAAGCGUGCGUAGGCGGCUUCUUAAGUCGGAUGUGAAAUCCCUGAGCUUAACUUAGGAAUUGCAUUCGAUACUGGGAAGCUAGAGUAUGGGAGAGGAUGGCAGAAUUCCAGGUGUAGCGGUGAAAUGCGUAGAGAUCUGGAGGAAUACCGAUGGCGAAGGCAGCCAUCUGGCCUAAUACUGACGCUGAGGUACGAAAGCAUGGGGAGCAAACAGGAUUAGAUACCCCGGUAGUCCCUGUCUCUUAUAC